AAAAUUUAAAAUAAAAAUACUAAAAUAGUAAAUAAAUAUUUAUUGAAACUUAAAUAAUUUGGCGGUAUUUUAGUUCAUUUAGAGGAAUCUGUUUAAUAAUUGAUAUUCCACGAAUAAAUUUACUUAAUUUAUAAUUUUGUAUAUCGUUGUUAUAAAAAUAUUUUUUAAUAAAAUUAAUAUUUAAAAAUUAAUAAAAUAAAUUAAAUCAGAUCAAGAUGCAGAUUAUAAUUAAGAAUAUAAUGGAUUACAAUAAAUUUAUUUAGAUGAAUUUUAAUUUGUAAUAUUUAAUUGAAGGUGGAUUUAAAUGUAAUUUUAUUUAAUUUAAUAAAAUGAUUAAAAAUUAAAAUAUGC
This 351-nucleotide ribosomal RNA is filed under the name Sesamia firmata. RNAcentral's name for it is "partial 12S small subunit ribosomal RNA". Lineage: Eukaryota; Metazoa; Arthropoda; Insecta; Lepidoptera; Noctuidae. The record is from RNAcentral. RNAcentral also lists the same sequence under 1 other name.